CACCGCGUCAACUCUUGGCAGCUGUCAGAGCACCCCUCCCCCUCUUCCAGGCAACUUCUUCCAACAGCCCCCUCUGAUGGACCCCAACUCUCCUCUCUCACGCCUCGCCCAUACAGCGAGGCACAAAGAAAUCUCAGUCUCUCCAUAAACUUUGUGCUUCCAGUUAUGCCGCCCCCUCCCCUAGCCUACACCCCCACCCUGCCAGCUUCUUGGCAGGAAGGUUAGGCCACUGGCAAAAUCCUCAGCGAGAGCCAGCUGAUCACAAAUGCCAACUGUGUGUCUUGGGGCCAGUUAAGUCCUCUCAUCUGCCCCAGCUCUCAGGAGACCAUUUCAUUGCUCUCAAGGUUCCCAGGAGACCGCUGCGGACACGGACCAUCCUCUACUUGGCCCGCAAGGAUGGGUUGCUGAGCGGAAUCCCAAAAGCGCUCUUUCUCACCUCGAAUUUUCAUUUUUAGAUUGUAAAAAAUCCGAAUUUGGAGACAGGCAGAUAUUUUUCACACAUCAAAAAGCAGGACCAUCAGCUAGGUGAUUAGCCCCAGGUGGGAAAUGAGCCAUCUCUAAUGAGAAUACUGACUUUUUGAAGAAGUCUGUGGAAGUUCUGAAGUCCUACCCCAGCCCCAUGACCUUUCGUUCGUUUAGUUCUUCUGCCACAGGGAAGCAGCCAGCGACUAAUGAAAGAUUUGAUCUUGCAAUAAUUUCCCAAGCAGAAUAUCAAUAAGUUCCAAUUGAAGAGCGGAUUCUUUUGCAAUUCAGGCAUGUGCCGGCGAUAACGGGCGAGUUGGCAUGAAGAGAGGCAGAGAUGGAUUAAUUAUGCAGAGAACAUGGAAAUUCUGCUUAUCAUCGGCUAGCAAAGGAGCCCGGCUCACAUAAUCAGCAAACGAAGGGAGAGGAAAAAAUAACAAUGCAAUGGCACCUUCCAGCCCAUCAUCAGGAUUUUUUCUACCCCCCCCUUGUAAUUAAAAAAUAACAUACACUUAUAGCCCUAUCUCCUGUGCAGGCAAGGAGUGGAUGUCCACAAAAUAAUUGCACUGGGAUAUUAGAGCUGGCAACAUGGGCUGUCCAUUCCUGCUUGCUCUUCCCUCUCACCCUCUCUUUCUCUUUUGGCCUCUCAAGGCACUUCGCUUCUGAACCCAGUCCAAAUCAGACGGAUGUCUCAGGUGACAUUCUAGCUCACUUUCCAAAAAUCCCAAACUGGUACCUUAUCAUGAUCCAAGCAAACAUACAUACAUAUGUGAUAAAUAUUUGAAGGGCUGACUCAAGGGGGAGGUUUUGGAACUGAUCACCUGUGGCCUCUCUGGUCAAUUUCAUUUUUUGAUGAAACCUGUCCAAAUAGCCUUCAUUUUGCAGAGUGACUAGAUUAAAAUGGUGGACCGCGCGAUGGCUGUGGUAAUCUUCUCAAACGGUUUAACUUAUUUACAACUUUUUGUUUCUAUUCCCUUUGCCAAUUCAUUUUAUAAAUUCAAGUACAUGUAGUUAAUGAUUGCAAUGUGUGUGCCUCCAAAUCAGAAUUCACAAUUCCAUACUGUCACUGUAAAAUCUGACAGCUUAAUGCAUUGUAUUUCUCUAAAUGCCAAAAGAG
Molecule: long non-coding RNA, 1579 nt
Filed under: Equus caballus (horse)
Lineage: Eukaryota; Metazoa; Chordata; Mammalia; Perissodactyla; Equidae
Description: lncRNA (ENSECAG00000053930.1)
Source: RNAcentral